RNA transcript from Dunckerocampus dactyliophorus (ringed pipefish), 11122 nucleotides. It is a transcript of the gene named epsin 3a, with no coding region annotated. Lineage: Eukaryota; Metazoa; Chordata; Actinopteri; Syngnathiformes; Syngnathidae. The record is from RefSeq and is a predicted model, not a curated record. The transcript has 10 exons.
UGCACAUCAGUAAGAGCGCUCUCCUUGGUGGUGUAAAAUGACCCUUUUUGGUUGAAUUUGAAAAUGAUAUAUAGUGAUGGAAACUUAAGAAGCACAUUGAAUGGACACAAUAUGACAUUAGAAGAUGAAAUUUAGCGGUGAGGUCUACUUUCGCCGUCGCGAUACACUGUCAACAUGCUGUGUGUACAUCUUCACGGUGGAGGAACGUCUCAGGUGGCCUUACUGUCUCAAGCGAUGCUCCUACUGCAACUUUAACAAGUACAUCCCUAAAGACGACAAUAGCCACAUAGUGACCCAGUGUCUUCAGCAGGAGAUGGAGACACUACUGCAGCUCAGUCAAGUGUCCUGCAUCACUUCUGUGUUCUUUGGCGGCGGGACCCCAAGCCUGGCGCACCCCUCCACUGUCUCUGCCGUGCUGGAGACGGUCUCCAGGCGUGUGGGUCUUGCGGAUGAGGCUGAGGUCACACUGGAGGUCAAUCCGACUCCUGAGGGGAGGUCAAAGUUGAAGGAUUUUAGCCAAGCAGGGGUGAACCGUUUCUCUAUUGGGGUGCAGUCUUUGCAGGAUGACGAAUUAAAACUGCUCGGCCGAGACCACACUUCUCAUCAGGCUUUGCAGACCAUCGAGGAAGCUCACAGGCUGCGCCCGGGGAGAGUGUCGGUGGACGUCAUGUUCGGCCGCCCCAACCAGACCGUGCAAUCCUGGGAGACAGAGUUAUCCGAGCUGCUGAUGCUGUGCGAUGACCACGUGUCCCUCUACCAGCUGACCCCGGAGCGAGGCACCUUACUCUUCAAACAAUUACAAGGCGGCGAGUUGGCGUUGCCCAGCGACCAUGAGAUGGCGGAGAUGUACGAAAGCGCCAGGGGGACGCUCUUGCGGCACGGCUUCGAGCAGUAUGAGGUGUCAAACUUUGCCAGACAUAGUGCAGCGAGUCAUCACAACAUGAACUACUGGAAGGGAAGACAAUACAUCGGUGUUGGUCCAGGAGCACAUGGCCGCUUUGUUCCUCUGGGUGAGGGACGCAUCCACCGAGAGGCCCGCACCCAGACGCUGGAGCCCGACGUAUGGAUCCGUGAGGUCCGGCAGCGAGGACAUGGGACGAGGAGAAGGAUUCAUCUCGGACGCCUUGAACUACUGGAGGAGGCGUUGGUGAUGGGAUUGAGGAUGACAGAGGGCAUCACUCACAAGCACUGGCAGCUAUUCAGUCCACAGCUGACCCUCCGUGACAUCUUUGGCUCAUCUGUUGACGUCCAAGACUUCUUCCACAGAGGCCAUCUGAUCCUUGAUGACAGAGGUUUGCGCUGCUCCUGGGAUGGUUUGUCCUUACUAGACAGCAUGCUGCCCACUCUGCUGCUGGAACUGGAGAGACAAAUCCCUCCGACAGCUCAGCAAGGACCAACAGUGCAGUGCUCCAAGUCAUGAUGGUAGUGAUCACAAACACCUCUAUUAAGAAUCCAUUCAUUCAAAUGAACUUUAUUCAAAUUGGAGUGCAAUGACGGUUCAACAUAAUCGUCACUGGCACCUUCAGAGGAACGGGAAUAUUAUCAACACGUUCUACUGUCUCAGUGAGAAUGUGUGUGUGUGCCAGCAGCCGUCAUGACGUGCAUGCUGAUGAUUUAAUUAUGUCCGAGAAAAACGUGCAGAGACACUUAUUAAAAGGUCAAGACUGGAUGAGUAUGAGCGCCAUUUUCUCACGUUUAAUAGAUGCCAUCUGCCAGCUCUGAACACAGCAAAACAUAUCGUAAUAUGGAUCUCCAUUUAAAACCGUUUUUUUUAAAUAAAAUUUAAAAAUACCAAAAAGAAAGACAUGCUUUUUGAAACAGUAGGCGAGCAUUCAAUAGCCAAGUCAUAUUUUAUUUAACGAGUGGUUAGCACUCUGGUUGGAGUGCAUGCAGUGAUUUUUAUUGCAUGUAUUGUUCAUCUUAAAGGGAUAGUUCGGGUCUUUUGACAUGAAGUUGUAUGACAUCCCAAUCAGCAGUGUAGUGCAUCAAAGGUGACUUACCCCCCACUUUGUCCCGUCAGUCCGGUUCUGGUCGGAUUUCGGUGUUAAGGAACAUAGUUGCUGGGGUUACUUAAGUAAAGACUUUGGCUUCUCCAAACAAUAUGCGUUCAAGAGAGUCAUCACAAAAUGCAUCCUCGGAAAAAUCUGACCUCACAAAUUCCUCGGCGAUGCUCAUCACAUACACAACAAUGGACAGGCGGUAACGCGCAUUGAUACGACGGGAGAAAAAGUAACGCAGAGUGAUUUGUGAGGUCUGAUUUGUUUUCAAGGAGGCAUUUUAGUGACGUAAAUGUAUUACUCUUUUGAACACAUGUUGUUUUGAGAAGCCAAGCUCCUUACUUAAAAGGCCCCAGGAACUAACCAGAACUAAUCCGACCAGAACUGGGCUCACUGGACCAAGUGGGGGUAAGUCACUAUUGAUGCACUACACUGCACUGCAUCAUACUGAGAGUUGUUUCUAAUAUUUGGUUACCUGGAGCUGGUUGUAUAUAGAGAUCCUUUUCUUUGUAGUACCUUAUCCAUCUAUGAGAGCCUUCCCAAAGAUAAUCCUGUUUGGUAUUGAGUGACAUUGCUCAAGAGGAAAUGUGAUUGUAUAUUAUGGUGGUUGCAGUGGUAUUCCUAAUGUUUUGCCCAUUUCAUGAAGGCAAUAAUAGUAUAAACACCUCAGUUUACACAGGAAGUAGCUCCUCUCUUGAGUGUUAAUAAAAACUGGGCAUUAUUGUCUUUCUAAAGGCAGAAUGUUUGCUACCUCUCUUGUAUUUGAUAUCAUUAGGUGUACCUAAUGAAGCGGCCAGUGCUGACUAACACACUCGCACAGUCCAGUGUCACACCUCCUCCGUAGUACUCUUUGCAUGUGUGGGCGCCACAGUCUAUGUGGCAUCUGACAAUACAAGGAGAUGCUUGAGGUCUUUGUCUGAGUCACCUCUUUCUCUGUAUCCUACUCACACACACUUGAUGAGGUAUUUUUGCAUCACAGCCUGGAAACAGCUGACUGCUUACGAGCUGGAUCUUUAUAUGGAGCACACGUCAGCAAUGAUAUAUUCAGACGACCCACAGCUAGAAAGUUUUAUUAUAACACCGUGAUUAUGUGACGUGUAUACAAAAGUAGGAAUGCACUGGUCCAGCCAGGUGCUACAGAGUAUAACUCCUUACAUAAUACAACAUUGCAGCGUACUACUGCAAUUGGUUUCUUUGGAGAGGUUAUCACAAUUCAUUGAAUGUGACACCUCUCGGGUUUGUUGGCUUUGGUGCUUGAUCCAAGCACCAGUUGCAGGUCGCUGCCGAAGCUCGGCCGACGCACCAAGGAAUCCACGACGGCACAGGGCGUGCGGCUCCGCCUGCGGCCCCGCUGGUUCACACACAGCGACUGGUAGGCGACCAUUGAGACCAGCUGAUGCCUUGACGGGCUGGUCUCGUCGGGCAGGCCGCCCAUGACGGCCAGUUCCUUGAACGCAACCUCCAGUCCGGUGCCGCACUUCGCCGAAGUUUCGACGAAUGUGACAUCCCGAGUGAGAGCCUCGGUGACCUCUGACCGGCUGACAGCUCUCUGAGCGGCCAGGUCAACUUUAUUUCCGCAAACCACCACUGGCAAUCUCGCCGGCUGUUUGACCUUCAGCAGCUUUGUCUUUGCAGCUUUGAUCUCGCUGAGGAGCUCACAAACUUCACUGAAGGACUCUCUGUCACACAGACUGAAGACCAGCAAGAAGAUGUCACCUGGGGAGAGAAGAGCAUUUCAUAUCCUUGAAAUGUGGCAGAAACCUCCUGAUCUCUUUUGUAACACUCAAGAAUGGAUUGAAGUCAAAGCAUCAGUGCAUAUCAUAGCAAUCCUCAGAUGCUGUGCAAAUAUGCCCCCUUGUGGCGAUGAGCAACAUAAGAAUAACUAAGGACAUUUAGGACAUGUGUUGUUCUGGAUGUCAUUAUAACAUCCUUGCUUUUAGUGUCAAUGCUUGAUUUUCAUGUCAAACAAGACUUAAAACGAUCUUGUGUCGCACAAGAGAAUGUCCGAGACGCUUCAGCAUACUUGACUUACAUUACAUUAACAACUAUUUACAAAGCAGUGCCGCAAAGCAUGCUGGGAAACAGGAAGACCUCCCAGCAACACUACAAUGUCAGUACUGUAUAUAAAUACGUACACUUUUAAAAUGUUCAAAAUGUAACAAUUCAUAUUUAAUUAUAUUUUUGUUGACACAGAACCAUGUAUUAUGUAAAUCUAAGCAAGUGACCAAUUUGGCACAAUAAAUGCCAAAACUCAGCAGUCACACAAUAAAAAAAAAUAUUAAAAAUGUUACUAUUUACACUUUUCAAUUAUUUAUAAAUGUAAUAAUAUCUCGUUUGUACUAAGAAUAAUAUUUGCAUUAUAUGUAUAAAUAUUUGAUAUAUACAUUAUUUUGCAUAACCAAGUGACCAAUCAUUUUACAAAAAUGAUUAAAUCUAAACCUAAAUGCAAUAAUGAUGUACUCUAAUUAAUACUACUACUACUACCAAUAAUAAUACAUCACCGUAAUUGUAAAAAUACAUAACACCAUUAUAUCCGGACAUUGUAGCAUUCACUCAAUAGUAAUUAAGGCUAAUACUACCAAUAAUAAUAUAAUAACUAAUGAUACCACUAUAUAUUUGCUUAGCGUUGGACAGUAAAUGUUCACCUGUCAGUAUGGAGAGUCUCCGUUUUGCCGGGAAGUUUCUCUCCAUGGAGGCGUCCAGGAGGUCUACUUGGUAGGUUUCCCCUCCAAUGUGGAACAACUUCCUGUGAAAGUCCUCUGCAGUGGGUUCAUGCUGCUCUUGGAAGUCUUCCCCCAAGAAGCGCCUGACCACGCUGGUUUUGCCCACCUGCGGUGCACCGAGCACCACUAUUCUGUGACAGUUCCUGGGCUUGAUCACGCCCAUGCUGCGGGUCACAUCUGCACACCUGUGGGGGAGCGGGUCACUGGAGACGCUCUCCACUGCUCUGUUGUCCUGCUGCCUCCAGCGCCCUUUGACUGUCUCCAGGAGACCCAUGCUUGUCUUUGACAACACCUUUGGGUGCUGCUGCUGGAGGACAGGCGUGGGGGUCGGGCUUUGUGACCGGUGAUGUCUAGUGAAGGUGUUGAACAUUUUGAGGACGCCAUCAACGGGAAGGUGAAACUUCUCGGUUGUGUUCAUCUUCGGCUUUUGUUCGGUGUUCGGUGCUAGACAUCGGCGUCAGAAUCUGUGAGCCUGCCUCUCUUGUCUCCCCAUGUGUGCACCGAGCUGAGCAGAGUGUGGUCUUUUUAUACACCCACACUGAACACACUUUUCUGCGUCAUCCAGGGAACACACUCCUUUUAUAGAAGCCCUCGUCCUCCAGUUUGAUUUGGGUCUGAUUAGUUCACACCUAAUGAGUGUUUGCAGUCUCGUUAUGGAUCAAUCGGGUGGACUGAGAUAAUUGCCCACACCCUUGUCGUCAUGGUUACGGGAAGGGCGAAGCAUCUUUGCUGUUGUCACAAUCUAAUGAGAUACAUUGUUUAGUUCACUAACAUAUUAGAAACAUCUCUCACUGUGAUGCAGGGUGCACACAAAGCUACACCGCAAUACCAAACAGUGCAGGUGGAAUGAUGUGGCAUAAAAAUCAAUUUGUGCUCUGCAGUGAUCACGACUUGCAGAGAAACAGCUCACUCUCUGCUCUAUGAUUCACCAGAUACGAUAAGGAGGUUUUUUUCCACAGCGUCAGUGUGCAACAACAUCAAUUAUUUAUGACAUCAAAAGGCUGUAGUGUUUGUUUCUUUGUCGUUUUGGAUACUUGUACCUCAGGAAAAAAAAAGAGGGAAGACCAUAAGGAAAGGCCACGCGUGGUUGAAAAAUGUAAUUUUCAUUUCGACAAGGUGCAGCCUGCUAGAAGUGCAGUAUUGUUUGUUUGUUGGCAAGCAUCUCUGGUCAUUUUCAUGCUCAGCCAUUAGCCAUUAUUAUCCUUUUAGCUACAUGCUAUUUACAUUAGCGUCAUCUUAUGUUUACGCAUGUGAUAGUUAAUGUUAGGUGUGUCGAAUGAAAGGAUUAAAUGCAAUUCAUGAAUUACAGUCAUCACGUAAUCUCAUUUUUAAUCUCUGAUUUAACAGUGUCUGUAUGCGCGUUGCCAUUUUGUAUAAUCGUUUUUAUGCACCGGGCUUCUUGUGCUUGAGUUGUUGCGGGUGAAAAACAACAAUGUGUCCCAUCCAGAAUGGACAUUGAUGGGCUGUCAUUGUGGGACUGUAGUUUUAAAAACUCAAUAAUAUAAACUAAUUCCAUUUGUUCAAAAAUUUGACAAGUAACGUUACAUAAGAAUGAAAAAUAUUACAAAAUAUAGAAAUAGUUUUUUUUUAUUAUUUUUAUUUGUAAUAGCAGUCGAGUGAACAUGAGUGGGCACAUGCCAGUUUGGCCAUUAAGAUAAAUUAUUUAUAAUUCAUCCUUUUUAAAAUAUAUUGUCAUGUUUUAGGGUAGAAAUGGACUUGCAACUUGAAAUGUGAUUGUUCAAAUUUGAAAUUGGAAUUUUUUUUAAAACAAAAUAUAGCAUAUAAUGUCAGGGGGAUGCAAAUGGCACCAAACUGUAGGAAAUAACAGCCCCUCUCUUCAGUUAUCGCCUGCUUGUAAUGAACUUUUUGUGCUUGGGUAAAUAAACCACUCAGAUAUAAUUCCAUUAUGUUUGAUGCACAGCCUACAUAGGGCGUCACACACGGGACUAAUAGCUGACGGUUAAAGUGAGUGGGUACGUGGUCCAGAGUAAAUAUAGAAAAGCUGCGUUUUACCGGAGGUGAUGUGUCAUUUGUUCAUACAAGUCAGUGGAAUUUUAUUAAAGAAGGAUUAGUGAAGAUGUAUAACAAUGCUCACAGUAGCUCCUCCCCCAAAAAUGAUGAUUUAUCAGCCCAAGGCUCUGAGCCAAUUGGAAGGCGGCCAUUGUUCAUCCAGUAAUUCCACUGAAGUCAACUGUCUGUUCUAUUAAAACUUAUUAUGAUGGGACCUCCUCCCCAUCAGUGUCACACAAAAGCAUACCAAGUACUUGCAAUAUGUCACUGCAUAUUAUAUACACUAUAUAUAUACAUAUACAUAUACACACACAUACAAUACAGGCCAAAAGUUUGGAUACACACAACACAGUUGAUGGUCCACUAAUAAGGCAUGAAAUUCCACUAAGUAACCCUGACAAGGCACACCUGUGAAGUGAAAACCAUUUCAGGAAGCUCGUUGAGUGAACACCAAGAAAAAAGCAACAAAAAAAACUAAGACAUAAAAUCCAUCCAUCCAUUUUCUAUGCCCCUUCUCCUCAUUAGGGUUGCGGGGGCAUGCUGGAGGCUAUCCCAGCUGACUUCGGAUGACAGGCGGGGUACACCCUGGACUGGUCGCCAGCCAAUCGCAGGGCACAUAUAGACAAACAAACAUUCACACUCACAUUCACACCUAUGGACAAUUUACAGUCACCAAUUAACCUAACAUGCAUGUUUUUGGAAUGUGGGAGGAAACACAGAACGGGCAAACUCCACACAGAAAUGCCCAAGGGAGAAUCAAUCCCAGGUCUUCCCAAUCUCCAGACUGUGACUGUGGCCAACAUGCUAACCACUAGACCACCGUUAGGCCCAAGACAUGACAUAACAUAACAUAACAUAUCUGUCUAAAAUAUAAGACAUACACUAUUUAGAGUUAUUUCACACUUUUUUUUUUUGUACAUAAUUCCACGUGUGUUCAUUCAUACUUUUGAGAAUCUCAAAUGUAAAUAGUCAUGCAAAUGAAGAAAACUCAUUGAAUGAGAGGGCGUGUCCAAACUUUUGGCCUGUAAAGUAUCUUUUUAUGCACAACUCCUUUUAUACUAUUUCUAGAUAAGGUGUUAGCUUUGCUGAGGUUUUUUUGUUUUUUUGACACUUUAAGGCUCAAAAUACCGCUCUGUGAUGGCAAUACAUUUUUGUCUAAUUGUGUUGUUUUUAUCUAAAUGGAUUAUAAUGUUUAAUAUCGGGCAAAGACAAUAAAACUGCACACGUGCACCGUUUUAUUGUCAGUUUUCUUCAAAUUUCCAAAAUAACAUUUUUUGCUACAUUUAUUUGCAAAUGUCAAGUACAGUAUUGUGGUCAUGCUUCAUAGUGUCAUAUUUUAGACUGACGAGGAUAUGGUGACUUUUACAUAACAUGCACUUGAACGCAAUUCUGCUGCAAGUCGACAGCAUUACCGUUUACGGCCACGAGAGGGCAGCAAAGAAACAGGAGCGACAUGGGAGUGGGGUUUUAAGCGUAACCACAAAAAUCACAUUACAAAAAAAAAGGAAAAACUUGCUUCUCGCGCACUUUCUCCUCCCCUUUUGUCUGCACACCCCUCCCUCGCCUUCCUUGUACUGACCUCAGCAGGGCUUUUGUUGGGAAACAAAGAAUGCUCAGGCAUCUGUUUUCAGAAGAAAUAAAAGACGCGGGGCGCCAAGACAGAUGGAGGGAGUGUCGGGGACCAGAGCUAUGAAGUUGAGCUCGACUGACCUGAUCAGUGAGAGUCAAAAUGCAACACACACACUUUGCACCACAAAAAAGCUCGUAUAGGGCCGCCACACUACUCAUUUUAAUAUCACAACAAAACGAUCUCUGCUUGUUUCUGCUACUUAAUAAUGUCUUUACCCCCAUUAAAGUUGUUGACAUUUGCAACGCUUGUGACUUUGUUUUGUCAAGGUGGAGCUGGUAUUUCCUGCAUAUCCUGCUCAGCCACGCACACUUGCCAGUCGCUCCUGUAACUGUUUCCGUCACUUGGCCCUAAAGCUUCAAACGCAGCUUGCAGAGAUGCCUAUGCACCACUAGGUUGAAUCCAAGCCGAAUGUACUGUAAGGUCCUGUAUAAUGCAUGAAGACGUGACUUCAGACAACGUGCCAUUAGUGAUAAUAAAUAAGUGAAGACUCCGUGAUGCUUCUGCUGAAAAAGGAAAUGAGGCUCUUAGCUGAACUCCCCUGUGGGAAAAAUCCCUGCUUCUUGGAAUGCAUUACGGCCAUAAUCUUUUAUAACAUCGUCAAAUCUAUGCCAUCUUUAUUUUUAUAGGUCCCAAAAACAAAGGGGGAUGCAGCUUGAGGCACGUCCGUCUGGAAUUUAGAGUAAUUGGAUUCUAGGUUUCUCUACAGCCACUCCCAGUCCUAUUCCCUGUUCCCGUCUGUACUUUGUUUCUAUAUUAUUAGUAUUUUUUGGUAUUAUUACUUGCAAUAAUUGCCUGAAAUGUGCAUGUACACACACACACAAGCUAUAACGUUUAUUUAUUGGGUGUAUUAAGAGCCAAAGCAUUAUAGAUUUCCUAUAAAAGGGCUAAUAUUAUGAUUUUAUUAUUAUGUAUCAUUAUCACUUGUGACCUAAAGCAGGACUUAUUGGGGGCAAUAUUCUAAAGUCCUCCAAAGGCGAAAAAUGUUGUAUUAUCAGCAUUUGCGGGGUUUUAGAACACUUCCACUGAGGCUUGAUUUUUUUUUUCGAAUCAAAUGAAGUCGUGGUCCGUCUAUGGCCCACCUGACCUAGGUCACUCACCCCUGGCCUAAAGAUUUACUCUUUCAAGCCACAACAUUAUGUGUAAAUAUAAUCAAUAAAUACAUACAGUAUGUCCAAACUUUUUUCUGCGAGGGCCACUUUGAUACAUUUUGUACUAAAACCAAUCUGUAGGUCAAUCUAUGCUAUGAUAUCUGAACAAAACAGUGACAUUUUACCUAAUAUGCCAAGGGCCAAAAAUGGCUGAAAAUAGUCCCCAGGCUGCACUUUGGACACUCCUGACUUAUGUGUAAAUACACCGAUGCUUAGACAUCACCUUUUAGUUACACCAGAAACAGUAUAUAGAAACAUUAUAAUGUCAGCAUGAUGCAAGACAUUCAAAAGUGAGCAUGAUAAAGUGUUGCUGUACCUAAUGCUAUGACCUGCAAGCAGUAUCUGUGUGUGUGUGUUGCAUGAGGUAGUGAAAGGGUUAAGUCUGACUCUGCAGGCACUAUGCAGGCCAGCCUCCCCCUCCUCCUCCUCCUCCUCCUCCUUCCACUUUGCUGUGUUUUCAGGACAGGAGGGGUGUCAGACCUGUCUUCUCGCAGCUCUGAUUCCCACAGAGAGUAGAGUUUGGGAUCUAUUUCUCCUCAGUUUGGAUCUAUAAAGCUAUUUCUGCACAUAGCCCGGUCGGGACAUGCCGAGAGGCGAAGGCACAUUUUGGUCUUCCUGCAGCAGCCAAAUCCUCCUCCUUCUCCUCUUCAUCAUCAAGUUGGGAGCCUGACCCUGCCAUAUCAUGAAGACAGAACACAGAAGCUGAGUCACGGUGAGAAAGUUCACCGUAUCGACCCGUUUGACGUAACGUCCUGGUCCAGAAAGGACACUCAUGGAAACCAUUGGACACACUAUAGGAGCCUCAACAGCCCACUAAUCAAUCAUAAUAAUACGCAGGAGGAAUUUUUACCCAUAUGGAUUUAAUUGUGUGACUUACACAGUAUGAGCUGGAGUACGUGUUUACACUGCUUUGUUUCUAUGAUACGUGUAAAUAAGGGUGUAGUGCAAAACCGCACCAUCCAAACCCAAAUGCUCUAAAAAUAAUCUCCUUGUUGACGUCACUGUGUGUGUUAUUAAUUGCUUUUAACGUGUAUGCAAUAGGCGAAGUAACAGGAAGUGCAUUACCUGAAACUCAGUGAUGUCACCACCCACAUGACCAAGAAAGAAUAAUGGGAGGUAACCGACUGGUGAACUCUUGGCGUGGGACUGUUUGUGGUUUAAUGUUGUUAUUUAUUUUUUAAAUGCCUGCAGUUUCAGGGGUUAAAGGUUGUUGGACAAAAUCGUUACAUGUCAAUGCACUAGCAAACAUUUGGUACACACCUGGGUAAUAUAAUUCCGUCAAAAUGCAAAAUUAUCGAAAAUAUCUUUCUUAGUCAAAAAAUAACUUUAAUAUCACUCGUUAGAUACUUACACCAUGGCAUAAGUGUAAAAUGGGUCGAAAAAAAUGUCGCGUUUUUCCGAGUUUACUAAUUAACAAGCUACUUCCGGGUUCAUGGCUGAUAGCCAUUGGCCCAUUUUUGCCAACGCCUCGGAAGUCGCUCGGUGACAUAAUCGGCUAAUUUGCAUAUUAUUUGCAUAUAAAGCACAUACUGGUAGGGAAAAAGCAGUAAUUUUUUAAUUACAUUUUUUACAAAAUGUGAGUAUGUCAUUUAGGACACUUUUUUAUGCUUUUGA